CCUACGGGGGGCUGCAGUGGGGAAUAUUGGACAAUGGGGGCAACCCUGAUCCAGCAAUGCCGCGUGAGUGAUGAAGGCCUUCGGGUUGUAAAGCUCUUUUGCCAGGGACGACGUACCUGGAGAAUAAGCCCCGGCUAACUUCGUGCCAGCAGCCGCGGUAAUACGAAGGGGGCUAGCGUUGUUCGGAAUUACUGGGCGUAAAGGGCGCGUAGGCGGUCUGAUAAGUUAGGUGUGAAAUUCCCGGGCUUAACCUGGGCGCUGCAUUUAAUACUGUCAGGCUUGAAUUCAGGAGAGGAUAGCGGAAUUCCCAGUGUAGAGGUGAAAUUCGUAGAUAUUGGGAAGAACACCGGUGGCGAAGGCGGCUAUCUGGACUGAAUUGACGCUGAGGCGCGAAAGCGUGGGGAGCAAACAGGAUUAGAUACCCUUGUAGUC
This 432-nucleotide ribosomal RNA is filed under the name uncultured bacterium. RNAcentral describes it as "partial 16S ribosomal RNA". It matches the Rfam family "Bacterial small subunit ribosomal RNA", at positions 338 to 795 of the family's 1533-position model. The record is from RNAcentral.